AGGCUGAGUAUCUGCCCUCGGAGGUGCAGGGUGAAGCCCCAGACCCCAGCGUGGCCAUCCUGGGAGACAGAGCCUCCAACAAUUAACUAAGCGCACAUCGCGAGACGGUGGCUAUCUUUGAGCAGGAAGAAAGGUCUCCCCGGGAACCUGAUCUCGGGCUUUGGCCUCAGAACUCUGUCCAGUGCCCCAUCCCUGCUGCUGAGCUCCCAGACCACAACUACUCAGAAGGGGGAGGAAACAGACAGCGUGGGGCCCUGGCCCUGAGAAGCUGAAGGACCAAGUCAAAGCACUGCCAUGUGGACAGCGAGCGCCAGCCACGGUGCCCACUCUCCUGGAUCAUCACAGGCUCCCUGGGCCUGCUCUACAGACGCGGUAACCGCAACACGGCCUUGUGCCACCCCAGGGGGAGCCCUGCCACCUCACCUUAUGUCACCUCCCCAACACCCAGUCCUACCCGCCUCCCCCAUCCCCAAGUCCUUUGAUUCAGCCUCUUCCAUCUCUCUAGAACCUGCUCCCCACUUCUACCGCACGCCACCCCCAAGUUCAAGUCACAGCAGCUCAGGCUGCAAUUACUCCC
Molecule: long non-coding RNA, 577 nt
Organism: Fukomys damarensis (Damara mole-rat)
Lineage: Eukaryota; Metazoa; Chordata; Mammalia; Rodentia; Bathyergidae
Exons: 3
Source: RefSeq, a predicted model, not a curated record